UAGUUCAAAACUGAAAAGUCGCAUUUGAAGACGAAACGUUUUGACUCUUUAGACGAUUCUUUCAAACAGAGUAUUAUAAAUACACGUGACUGGCAGGUCAUCUGGGGCAUGCAUCUUGAAGGAGUCCGAACGAUACAUCACAAUGGGAAUAAGUAGUUCCAAAAGUUCUAUAGAGGAGCAGCCGUAUUCUAGACAGGAGACAGUCGAGAUCAUUAGCAAGCGAACCAUUGGCAAACUAAUCGUGAAGCAUUGCGGUAACGAAGGACAGGCAGACGAUCCGACACUUGUCGUAACUCUCAGACGAAUACUCCAAGCGACGAUCACAAAACUCGACACGGAAUCAGAGGAGACGUGGAGGAAUGCAGAGAUCGUUAUUUACGAUCAGGAAGGAAACGAUUUCUGUAUUCGAUCGGGAGAUUUUGAAAACAAGUUUGUCGUUCAACUCGACGAAAAAGAUGAGAUUAACAUAACGUGCACGGAUAGAAA
Long non-coding RNA from Dendronephthya gigantea, 486 nucleotides. RefSeq lists it as uncharacterized. The record is from RefSeq and is a predicted model, not a curated record. The transcript is spliced from 2 exons. NCBI's taxonomy places the organism in Eukaryota, Metazoa, Cnidaria, Anthozoa, Malacalcyonacea, Nephtheidae.